GAUGAACGCUGGCGGUAUGCUUAACACAUGCAAGUCGAACGGAAGCCUUCGGGCUUUAGUGGCGGACGGGUGAGUAACACGUGAGAACCUACCUUGAGGUUCGGGAUAACAUUGGGAAACUGAUGCUAAGACCGGAUGUGCCAAUAGGUGAAAGAUUAAUUGCCUUGAGAUGGGCUCGCGGUGGAUUAGGUAGUUGGUAGUGUAACGGACUACCAAGCUGAUGAUCCAUAGCUGGUCUGAGAGGAUGACCAGCCACACUGGGACUGAGACACGGUCCAGACUCCUACGGGAGGCAGCAGUGGGGGAAUUUUCCGCAAUGGGCGCAAGCCUGACGGAGCAAUACCGCGUGCGGGAGGAC
RNAcentral lists this ribosomal RNA (358 nucleotides) under uncultured bacterium. RNAcentral's name for it is "bacterial SSU rRNA". It matches the Rfam family "Bacterial small subunit ribosomal RNA", at positions 28 to 412 of the family's 1533-position model. The record is from RNAcentral.